AUUGAACGCUGGCGGCAUGCCUUACACAUGCAAGUCGAACGGCAGCACGGGAGCAAUCCUGGUGGCGAGUGGCGAACGGGUGAGUAAUAUAUCGGAACGUGCCCAGUCGUGGGGGAUAACGUAGCGAAAGCUACGCUAAUACCGCAUACGAUCUAUGGAUGAAAGCGGGGGGAUCGCAAGACCUCGCGCGAUUGGAGCGGCCGAUAUCAGAUUAGGUAGUUGGUGAGGUAAAGGCUCACCAAGCCGACGAUCUGUAGCUGGUCUGAGAGGACGGCCAGCCACACUGGGACUGAGACACGGCCCAGACUCCUACGGGAGGCAGCAGUGGGGGAAUUUUUGGGACAAUGGGCGCAAGACCUGAUCCAGCAAUGCCGCGUGCAGGA
Molecule: ribosomal RNA, 383 nt
Filed under: uncultured bacterium
Lineage: Bacteria
Description: bacterial SSU rRNA
Rfam family: Bacterial small subunit ribosomal RNA
Source: RNAcentral